This 489-nucleotide ribosomal RNA is filed under the name uncultured bacterium. RNAcentral describes it as "partial 16S ribosomal RNA". It matches the Rfam family "Bacterial small subunit ribosomal RNA", at positions 30 to 506 of the family's 1533-position model. The record is from RNAcentral.
AUUGAACGCUGGCGGCAGGCCUAACACAUGCAAGUCGAACGGUAACAGGAAGAAGCUUGCUUCUUUGCUGCCGAGUGGCGGACGGGUGAGUCAUGUCUGGGAAACUGCCUGAUGGAGGGGGAUAACUACUGGAAACGGUAGCUAAUACCGCAUAGCGUCGCAAGACCAAAGAGGGGGACCUUCGGGCCUCUUGCCAUCGGAUUUGCCCAGAUGGGAUUAGUUAUUAGGUGGGGUAACGGCUCACCUAGGCGACGAUCCCUACCUGGUCUGAGAGGAUGACCAGCAACACUGGACCUGAGACACGACCCAGACUCCUACGGGAGGCAGCGGUGGGGAAUCUUGCACAAGGGGCGCAAGCCUGAUGCAGACAGGCCGCGUGUAUGAAGAAGGCCUUCGGGUUGUAAAGUACUUUCAGCGGGGAGGAAGGGAGUAAAGUUAAUACCUUUGCUCAUGGAAGUGACCCGCAGAAGAAGCACCGGCUAACUCGGG